RNAcentral lists this ribosomal RNA (561 nucleotides) under Candida albicans. Its description in RNAcentral is "eukaryotic LSU rRNA". It matches the Rfam family "Eukaryotic large subunit ribosomal RNA", at positions 80 to 655 of the family's 3401-position model. Lineage: Eukaryota; Fungi; Ascomycota; Pichiomycetes; Serinales; Debaryomycetaceae. The record is from RNAcentral.
UCAGUAGCGGCGAGUGAAGCGGCAAAAGCUCAAAUUUGAAAUCUGGCGUCUUUGGCGUCCGAGUUGUAAUUUGAAGAAGGUAUCUUUGGGCCCGGCUCUUGUCUAUGUUCCUUGGAACAGGACGUCACAGAGGGUGAGAAUCCCGUGCGAUGAGAUGACCCGGGUCUGUGUAAAGUUCCUUCGACGAGUCGAGUUGUUUGGGAAUGCAGCUCUAAGUGGGUGGUAAAUUCCAUCUAAAGCUAAAUAUUGGCGAGAGACCGAUAGCGAACAAGUACAGUGAUGGAAAGAUGAAAAGAACUUUGAAAAGAGAGUGAAAAAGUACGUGAAAUUGUUGAAAGGGAAGGGCUUGAGAUCAGACUUGGUAUUUUGCAUGCUGCUCUCUCGGGGGCGGCCGCUGCGGUUUACCGGGCCAGCAUCGGUUUGGAGCGGCAGGAUAAUGGCGGAGGAAUGUGGCACGGCUUCUGCUGUGUGUUAUAGCCUCUGACGAUGCUGCCAGCCUAGACCGAGGACUGCGGUUUUUAACCUAGGAUGUUGGCAUAAUGAUCUUAAGUCGCCCGUCUU